Molecule: ribosomal RNA, 253 nt
Filed under: uncultured bacterium
Lineage: Bacteria
Description: partial 16S ribosomal RNA
Rfam family: Bacterial small subunit ribosomal RNA
Source: RNAcentral
UACGAAGGGGGCUAGCGUUGCUCGGAAUCACUGGGCGUAAAGCGCACGUAGGCGGCUCUUUAAGUCAGGGGUGAAAUCCCAAGGCUCAACCUUGGAACUGCCUUUGAUACUGGGGAUCUCGAGUCCGGAAGAGGUUGGUGGAACUGCGAGUGUAGAGGUGAAAUUCGUAGAUAUUCGCAAGAACACCAGUGGCGAAGGCGGCCAACUGGUCCGGUACUGACGCUGAGGUGCGAAAGCGUGGGGAGCGAACAGG